GCUGGUCGUGGCACACUCUUUGUUGUCUUCAAUAUCUCAUCGUUCACUGUUUUAUCCAAGUCCCUAACCAUUUCCUGAAGCUUUGUGAAUGUUUCCUCCUCCGUGACUUUGUGUUGCUUCAUAUAGUACAUGAUGGCAUUAACAUCAUACCCUCUGCUCAUGUCACUCUGUUAGGAACUCAUCAAAUGUAGGCACCACGUCUCCUUUUUCCCAGUUGGUAAAGCUAAAGAGGGAUCUCAAGUAUAUCUUGAACUGCUUAUGCGGGAUCAUACAAAAGAAUGUUAAACAACAUCAAUUAAUUUAAUGAUUGUAAUUAAGAUAUUUGGAUGGUUGUAAUUUAAUGUACUUUACCUC
Molecule: long non-coding RNA, 354 nt
Organism: Camelina sativa (false flax)
Lineage: Eukaryota; Viridiplantae; Streptophyta; Magnoliopsida; Brassicales; Brassicaceae
Source: RefSeq, a predicted model, not a curated record